RNAcentral lists this unclassified non-coding RNA (20 nucleotides) under Chlamydomonas reinhardtii. RNAcentral's name for it is "small RNA Cre_2625". The record is from RNAcentral. Lineage: Eukaryota; Viridiplantae; Chlorophyta; Chlorophyceae; Chlamydomonadales; Chlamydomonadaceae.
UCGACACGGCACGUACCCGG